Molecule: long non-coding RNA, 2490 nt
Filed under: Theobroma cacao (cacao)
Lineage: Eukaryota; Viridiplantae; Streptophyta; Magnoliopsida; Malvales; Malvaceae
Description: long non-coding RNA (TCAC_LNC001908)
Source: RNAcentral
ACGACCGGUACUCCCCUCGAGCCCAUGACAACCGCCGCGACAUCCCGAUAGAUAUUCAUUGCUCGGAAUGCCAACCGAAACCUCGCAAGGGUUUAAUAUCAGUUUCUCAUUUCCCCUGUGUGUAACUGUUGCCAAAUAUCAUGUUCUAAAGGAUUUUAAGCUAUUUCUAACUUAAAUCAAUAAAAAAAUGAUUUCUGUUUCACAGGGGCAUUUUGGUCAUUUUUCCUUAAAAUCUCGAAACCAGCCAAAAAUAUAGUAUGCGAAUGGAAAACACAUAUUUCAUAAUAAAAAAUAAGUUUAGAUGACUAAAACAUUCAUUUAAAGCGAAACUAUAACUAUUUGAAUAUAAUAAAAAUAUUCAAUAAAAUAUUCUAUUUUCUUAUAAAACAAUAUUUAUAGAGUUCCCAGUAAAUAAUUUUUGUAGCGUAAAAGCUAAAUAAAUUCAUACAUAUUGUAAUACAGAUAACCAAAGCAUAAGAUUUAAUUUACAAUGACACAUGAGCCCACGAACGACCAAAAGUAUCAAAAGCGGUAAACCUACAGUUUUUGAUGAUGCAAGUCUAACUGUAACCCUUAUCAAUGUGAGCUAUCUACCAACUAUCCUGAGCCUAAAAUGGGUGGAAAUGAGGGUGGUGAGAUUAUAUAAUCCUAGUGAGUAAACAAAUACCAUCUAAAAUAUCUAACACUGAGUAAAUGGAGACAAAUAAAAUAGUUUAACAUACUGUAAUUCAUCACAUUUCAAGCAAAUAAAAUCAAUUCAUAUAAAUCGAGUAAUCAACAUGGCUUAUGAAUUUUUUAAAACUUUGGUUCGUGCCAAAAUCAUUCUCAUACUCAGUUAUCAGGGAUACCUUGACUGAGGGUUAUCCCAACCGAGUCCGCCAAGGCUGUUAAAAAGUUAUGUACGCAUAAAUCAUGUUUUUAUUUUAAAACAUAGCCGUUCCUUGGCAUUGGCUGAGUUCACCCUCACGUGGUGGUUUGGCGUGAAGUGAACUCUAAAGUGUUAACCUUAGGAGUUAUCCAUCCGCGCCUCUCAUACUGAGGUAUGAAUAUAAUAAAGUUACCGUGCCCCCUCUAAUAGGCUGGUCCACGGAACCUGUCCACUGCAAUGACUAAUCAAUAACCCACCAAUUCAAUAAAAUUUAACAGCAUGACAUGGCAAUUUUAUCAUUAUCCAGCCUAUCAAGGCAAACAACAGUUUAUAAAUUUUCAACACAAAUACCAAUUCAACCAUUCAUGCCAAUAUUAUCAUAAGCCAUUCAAUUCAAACCAUGAUUUAUAACACAGCAAUUAGUCUCCAAUUACUCCAUUUUCAAAACCAUCUUUCAAUUUCAAGAUAAUUUUAUAAAAUCAUUUCAUUUAAACACAUUUUGUUUAUAAAACAUAAAGAUUUACCAUUUAAACUUAUUUUCCAUAAAAUCACAAAAUUAGAUAAAAACCACUUUAGACAAUUAAGACGAUAGUAAGGUUACUCACUAUUUUGGGAGUCAAAUUCCGAGUACUCCGAUUCUUGAUCCUCAAGUACUAUCUCUUUACUUUUGCCAGAAUGCUCACCACCUGGACAUAAUGCAUAAUAAGCCAUUUACUACAUUUGUGCUAAAUUGUUAUAAAACCAAUUCAAGCUCUAUACUAAUGCAUGAAAUGGGAUGUAAAUUGUUCGAAUUAUCAUCUAAACACGAUGAUCUACACAAAUUCAAUUGUGUACCUAAAUAAAACGGUAUUGGCCUAAUUCGAUCUAUCACCCGAUUAAUUGGCCAAUACGUCCAAUUCAACUCCAAAUAAUUCCAUUUUUCUUCCAAUUCUCCAAACCAUCAAACACAAGUUAAAUAACUUGAAAUAUGGCAAAAUCAUCCUCAGAUUUUCUCUUGGAAAAUUUGGCCAUGGUGGGUGCAUCAACACUAUAAUUUUUCAAGCUUGAUUCUCACACCAUAAAUUACUAAUUCCUAACCAGAUCACUUGAAAUAAAAUCAAAAUCAUCAUCAAUACUCUACAAGGAAGAUUCGGCCAAUGGAGGUUCUUGAGGGGUAUACGGUUUUUCAUGCUCAACAUUACCAUUUUCGGUUUCUACCAACACAAUUCAUUAAAUUUUAACUAAAUAACAUAAGACAUCACAAGAUUCAUCUUCAAUAUUGCCUUUAUGAAAUUCGGCCAAUGAAGAAUCCAUGAAGAACAUGUAAUUUUUCUUACUUGUUUUCCUUCCAAACAUGAUAAAUCAACUAUAAACACUAAAAUAUCUCAAAAUCUAACCAAAUAAAUCAUCAAAUCUUCUCUCUCUAAAUUCGUUCAGCCAUGAAUCCUUCAUGAUAUCUUGUGAUUCAAUCAUGGAAAAUGCAAAAGAAUGCAUGGGAAAGGUAGAUCACAAGUCAAAAUAAAGAAAUUUUACCUUUGAUUGCUUGAUUACUUGAAAUCCACCAAUUUUCUCUUGAAUUUUCACCCUAGGGUUCUUGUUCUUUCUUUUCUUCCUUUGUUCUUGCUUUGGCCAGCCAUAUGAAG